GACGAACGCUGGCGGCGUGCCUAAUACAUGCAAGUCGAGCGGAACGACCAGGAGCUUGCUCUUGUUCGGUUAGCGGCGGACGGGUGAGUAACACGUGGGUAACCUGCCCGUAAGACCGGGAUAACUCCGGGAAACCGGAGCUAAUACCGGAUAACACCGCAGACCGCAUGGUCCUUGGUUGAAAGGCGGCUUCGGCUGCCACUUACGGAUGGGUCCGCGGCGCAUUAGCUAGUUGGUGAGGUAACGGCUCACCAAGGCGACGAUGCGUAGCCGGCCUGAGGGGGUGGACGGCCACACUGGGACUGAGACACGGCCCAGACUCCUACGGGAGGCAGCAGGAGGGAAUCUUCCGCAAUGGACGGAAGGCUGACGGAGCGACGCCGCGUGGGCGAAGGAGGUCUUCAGGUCGGAAAGCUCUGUUGUUAGGGAAGAAGAAGCGUCGUUCGAACAGGGCGGCGCGGUGACGGUACCUAACGAGAAAGCCCCGGCUAACUACGUG
This 499-nucleotide ribosomal RNA is filed under the name uncultured bacterium. RNAcentral's name for it is "partial 16S ribosomal RNA". It matches the Rfam family "Bacterial small subunit ribosomal RNA", at positions 28 to 507 of the family's 1533-position model. The record is from RNAcentral.